RNAcentral lists this ribosomal RNA (495 nucleotides) under uncultured bacterium. Its description in RNAcentral is "bacterial SSU rRNA". It matches the Rfam family "Bacterial small subunit ribosomal RNA", at positions 15 to 507 of the family's 1533-position model. The record is from RNAcentral.
GAUCCUGGCUCAGAUUGAACGCUGGCGGCAUGCCUUACACAUGCAAGUCGAACGGCAGCGGGCCUUCGGGUGCCGGCGAGUGGCGAACGGGUGAGUAAUGCAUCGGAACGUGCCAUUGAGUGGGGGAUAACGUAGCGAAAGUUGCGCUAAUACCGCAUAUUCUGUGAGCAGGAAAGCAGGGGACCGCAAGGCCUUGCGCUCUUUGAGCGGCCGAUGUCAGAUUAGCUAGUUGGUGAGGUAACGGCUUACCAAGGCGACGAUCUGUAGCGGGUCUGAGAGGAUGAUCCGCCACACUGGAACUGAGACACGGUCCAGACUCCUACGGGAGGCAGCAGUGGGGAAUUUUGGACAAUGGGCGCAAGCCUGAUCCAGCCAUGCCGCGUGAGUGAAGAAGGCCUUCGGGUUGUAAAGCUCUUUCGGCCGGGAAGAAAUCGCAUGGGUUAAUACCCUGUGUGGAUGACGGUACCGGAAUAAGAAGCACCGGCUAACUACGUG